Molecule: ribosomal RNA, 454 nt
Filed under: uncultured Clostridium sp.
Lineage: Bacteria; Bacillati; Bacillota; Clostridia; Eubacteriales; Clostridiaceae
Description: bacterial SSU rRNA
Rfam family: Bacterial small subunit ribosomal RNA
Source: RNAcentral
ACAAGCAGCGGAGCAUGUGGUUUAAUUCGAAGCAACGCGAAGAACCUUACCUAGACUUGACAUCUCCUGAAUUACCCGUAACUGGGGAAGCUCUUCGGAGCAGGAAGACAGGUGGUGCAUGGUUGUCGUCAGCUCGUGUCGUGAGAUGUUGGGUUAAGUCCCGCAACGAGCGCAACCCUUAUCGUUAGUUGCUACCAUUAGGUUGAGCACUCUAGCGAGACUGCCCGGGUUAACCGGGAGGAAGGUGGGGAUGACGUCAAAUCAUCAUGCCCCUUAUGUCUAGGGCUACACACGUGCUACAAUGGUGAGGACAAAGAGACGCAAGACCGCGAGGUGGAGCAAAUCUCACAAACCUCAUCCCAGUUCGGAUUGCAGGCUGAAACUCGCCUGCAUGAAGCCGGAGUUGCUAGUAAUCGCGGAUCAGCAUGCCGCGGUGAAUACGUUCCCGGGCCUU